This is a small nucleolar RNA of Phyllopteryx taeniolatus (common seadragon), 198 nucleotides long. RefSeq annotates it as small nucleolar RNA SNORD17. The record is from RefSeq and is a predicted model, not a curated record. The transcript has a single exon. NCBI's taxonomy places the organism in Eukaryota, Metazoa, Chordata, Actinopteri, Syngnathiformes, Syngnathidae.
GUGACGUGAUGAACCCGUUUAUCCAUUCGCUGAGCGGCGGUCCGACCCGGCCCUGCGCCCCGCUCCCGUUCCGGGGGCGGGGCCUCUCCGCUGCCGUCAAUGCGCGCGUUUCGGCGUUCUGCUGAGACGCGGGCUUAGACGGCGCGGUGACGGGGGCCGGGCGGGUCGCCUCAGAGAUUCGCUUUUCGAUCUGAUCGC